This 496-nucleotide ribosomal RNA is filed under the name uncultured bacterium. Its description in RNAcentral is "partial 16S ribosomal RNA". It matches the Rfam family "Bacterial small subunit ribosomal RNA", at positions 28 to 506 of the family's 1533-position model. The record is from RNAcentral.
GAUGAACGCUGGCGGCGUGCCUAAUACAUGCAAGUCGAGCGAACGGACGAGAAGCUUGCUUCUCUGAUGUUAGCGGCGGACGGGUGAGUAACACGUGGAUAACCUACCUAUAAGACUGGGAUAACUUCGGGAAACCGGAGCUAAUACCGGAUAAUAUUUUGAACCGCAUGGUUCAAAAGUGAAAGACGGUCUUGCUGUCACUUAUAGAUGGAUCCGCGCUGCAUUAGCUAGUUGGUAAGGUAACGGCUUACCAAGGCAACGAUGCAUAGCCGACCUGAGAGGGUGAUCGGCCACACUGGAACUGAGACACGGUCCAGACUCCUACGGGAGGCAGCAGGAGGGAUACUUCAGAAAGGGGCGAAAGCCUGACGGAGCAACGCGGGGGGAGUGAUGAGGGCCUUCGGUUCGUAAAACUCUGUUAUUAGGGAAGAACACAUGUGUAAGUAACCGUGCACAUCUGGCCGGUACCUAAGCAGAAGGCCAGGGCUACCUACGG